UAGGCAACUUCAUUCUCGAAACAGUAAGCUUCGCUUCCUCUAGAAGCACAGCAGGCAAUGUAUGCCUAGGAAAGAUUGACAAAAACAAUUGACAAGCAAUUUUCCAUAGACACACCCUAAAAUGGUUUCAUUUUGUUGUUAAGAAAUCUAUCAUGGCAGUAAAACUGAACUUUACACAGUCUUGGCACAUAUAGAACAGACCAAUAAAUUACGCAUCUGAUUGUAAUGCAUAAACCUUUAAAACCAGUUUCAUAUAUUAAGUCAAAUACAACUCAAAACGUUAAAUUCAAUAAGUCCCAAAAACAGUUGCUAAAACUAAAAACAGGAGGCAAAAACAAAUGAAGCUUUCCCUAACAAGCAUCCUUCCAGCAACCCACUUCGCGCAGCACCAUAAGCUGAGCUGAAGGUAUCAGAAGAAAACCCCAUCUUGUUCAAUUCCAAGCACCUACUUGGAUCUCUGCCUCAUCUUUCGGCGCUUCCUCUUCAAUCUCCUCAUGCGCUUCUUCUUCCAUUUAGCCCUCAUCUUGGUUCAACCUCUCAGGAUCUACGCUUCUCACUCUAUUCUGCAAUUCCUCUCUAAUGGAGCAGAUUUUCAAUUGCAAGUUUAUAAGGAACCAAACAAGGGCUUCCCU
RNAcentral lists this unclassified non-coding RNA (632 nucleotides) under Hevea brasiliensis (rubber tree). The record is from RNAcentral. Lineage: Eukaryota; Viridiplantae; Streptophyta; Magnoliopsida; Malpighiales; Euphorbiaceae.